CCUACGGGUGGCAGCAGUGGGGAAUAUUGGACAAUGGGCGAAAGCCUGAUCCAGCCAUGCCGCGUGUGUGAAGAAGGCCUUCGGGUUGUAAAGCACUUUCAGUGGGGAAGAAAGCCUUGGGGCUAAUACCCUCGAGGAAGGACAUCACCCACAGAAGAAGCACCGGCUAACUCCGUGCCAGCAGCCGCGGUAAUACGGAGGGUGCGAGCGUUAAUCGGAAUUACUGGGCGUAAAGCGCGCGUAGGCGGUCUGAUAAGCCGGUUGUGAAAGCCCCGGGCUCAACCUGGGAACGGCAUCCGGAACUGUCAGGCUAGGGUGCAGGAGAGGAAGGUAGAAUUCCCGGUGUAGCGGUGAAAUGCGUAGAGAUCGGGAGGAAUACCAGUGGCGAAGGCGGCCUUCUGGACUGACACUGACGCUGAGGUGCGAAAGCGUGGGUAGCAAACAGGAUUAGAUACCCUAGUAGU
This 464-nucleotide ribosomal RNA is filed under the name Vreelandella stevensii. RNAcentral's name for it is "partial 16S ribosomal RNA". It matches the Rfam family "Bacterial small subunit ribosomal RNA", at positions 338 to 794 of the family's 1533-position model. The record is from RNAcentral. Lineage: Bacteria; Pseudomonadati; Pseudomonadota; Gammaproteobacteria; Oceanospirillales; Halomonadaceae.